This 1079-nucleotide long non-coding RNA is filed under the name Capra hircus (goat). Its description in RNAcentral is "lncRNA (ENSCHIG00000001376.1)". Lineage: Eukaryota; Metazoa; Chordata; Mammalia; Artiodactyla; Bovidae. The record is from RNAcentral.
GGGAGCCUGGUGGGCUUCCGUCUAUGGGGUCACACAGAGUCAGACACGACUGAAGUGACUUAGCAGCAGCAGCAGCAGCAGCAGCAGUAAUCAAUAAGGCACUGUGCUAAGCACUUGUACAUAUGGGGUUUUUUUCAGUUUAACUCAAAAAAAAUAUCAGGUAGGUACUAUUGCUGUUUCUAUUUGUCAAAUGGAGAAAUUGAUACAUAGAAAUAGUAACUAGGAGGUAAAAUUUAUUAUAUUAUUGAUCUAUUUAAAUUUGUAUGUUGUAAUUAGAAAAGAGUCACCAAGGUCUAAAGCCUGGCAGCCUGGCAAUUAAAUCCCCCAGUUUCAAAAUGCCCCAGGAAUGGAAGUGUAUGUAUGCUGAAAUAUACAUAUAUAUAUGUAUGUAUGUAUAUGUAAUUCUUUUCUUUUGGCCCCACCACCCGGCUUGUGGGAUCUUAGUUCCCCAACUAGGGAUUACACCUAGGCCACAGAAGUGCCGAGUUUAACCACUAGACCACCAGGGAAUUCCCUGAAAUAUAUAUUUUUACUAAAUGUAUAUUCUUUCCCCCCCUGCAAUGUCUGGUCGUAAGGAGAAGUUCCCUUUAAAAAGAACUGCCAAAGCAUCCUGAGUUAAUCUGGGUGCCGUGCACUCAGCCCACAGAUGCCAAUGCCGCCAUCUUGAGUGGAGAUGGCAUAGCCUCCCUUUGGCACCAGGAACUCCAGAGGGAAGAGCCUGGGGCAAGGCCUCCACGCAGCAUCCCAGGAGCAAAUAAAGCUGAACUAAGACAAAGGAAAAAACAAGCUAAAAGGUCUCUCUCUGCAAUCCCCAUUGCAAGAAUCGGUAGAUGUGGGGAGCUGGCAGAGCCCCGGAUGGUUGCAUGGAGUGCGGAUCGCAUAAGCCUACAUGUUGUCUUUUCAUUUUGCUCACAUCCUUUUCCCACUGUCAACAUUUAUUAUAGCUAUCUUUAGCACCUCUAGAGAUUGAAAGAGAAACAUUUAAUAUCUCUUUAUUGAGGAAACAAAGCACAAUAUGAAAAAAUUAAGCCACUUUUUUCUUGAAAAUUUGCAUUAGUGUGCAAUUAGAAACUUUAUCA